Trametes maxima is the source of this 117-nucleotide non-coding RNA. The record is from the annotation of a GenBank genome assembly. NCBI's taxonomy places the organism in Eukaryota, Fungi, Basidiomycota, Agaricomycetes, Polyporales, Polyporaceae.
GGCGAGAUGGCCGAGCGGUCUAAGGCGCCAGACUAAGGCGGGUUACGACUUCAUUCAGAAUCGUAAUGGUCAAAAAUCUGGUCCGAAAGGGCGUGGGUUCGAAUCCCACUCUCGUCA